This 328-nucleotide ribosomal RNA is filed under the name uncultured eukaryote. RNAcentral describes it as "partial 18S ribosomal RNA". It matches the Rfam family "Eukaryotic small subunit ribosomal RNA", at positions 1470 to 1795 of the family's 1831-position model. The record is from RNAcentral.
CCCUUAGAUGUUCUGGGCCGCACGCGCGCUACACUGAUGCAUUCAACGAGUCUAAAACCUGCUCUGAUAGGGGUGGGUAAUCUUUUGAAUGUGCAUCGUGAUUGGGAUAGAUGAUUGCAAUUUUUCAUCUUCAACGAGGAAUGCCUAGUAAACGCAAGUCAUCAGCUUGCAUUGAUUACGUCCCUGCCCUUUGUACACACCGCCCGUCGCUCCUACCGAUUGAAUGAUCCGAUGAAUAUCAUGGAUUGAGGAUGCAAGCAGGUUCGCCUGUCUUCAUCUUCGAGAAGUGAAGUAAAUCUUAUCAUUUAGAGGAAGGAGAAGUCGUAAC